Molecule: long non-coding RNA, 3921 nt
Filed under: Varroa destructor (honeybee mite)
Lineage: Eukaryota; Metazoa; Arthropoda; Arachnida; Mesostigmata; Varroidae
Description: uncharacterized LOC111250662, transcript variant X2
Source: RNAcentral
UCUUUACGAAACCAAAAGAGAAAUACACCCCACAGGCAAUCCACAAAAUCGGCAUCACCUAAAAUUUUACCUAAUUUUCAAGGGCCUGACAAAAACCGAGUCUCCUAUCCAAAAUAAAGCUUUAUUGAUGAUGAUGAUGAUGAUGAUGAUAAUCUUGAUUAUAUCAAUUCUUGCUAGCGUAAUAGUAAAUGUUUCGAAUGAUGGAUUGAUUUUUGAUUACGGCAAACAAUAACGGCGAUACACAAACAAAGCACAGGGCAGCUGGACCGACGUAACGGUCCGAUUCCAUACCUAGACGAACUAGUUUCCUUCUUGAUGUUGCCGAGGCGGUCGGCCAAUGUCGGUCAUUUUUAUGGCCAUCUUACUGUCGCCGGCGCAACUGCUGUUGUCCCCAGUUCGGUUGAGCUUCUUAAGCGCGACUUCUUUUAUUGGUGAUUUAGCCCCAGACUGUGCGGCAAGCGCUGACCUACCCGCAAAACAAAGCGACGACUUGGCCACGUACCCCGUCCCUACGAUUAUGACAAUGUUUGACUUGUCCUACGAGUCGAAACGGUUUUGAAGGUGUGCCGCACGGUAUCGUGAACCGAUCUGGUGAAAAAAUGCCGUCAAACCAAUAGACAACGAACCGACAGAAUCCAUGAACGUGAACGAGGGCUGAUUGAAGCUAUCCUACAAGAAACACAUAUAUGUAACUUAUUUUACUGUGUACGAUGUUUGUUGGUUGAACUCGAGAUGGAUGACUUCGAUAUUUUACGGAAUGACUGUCAGAUAGGGAAUAGUUGUGUCGUCUGGUAGAAUUGGUCGGGCGAAUUGGUGGUGCCUACUCGCGUCAAAAUAGGGUUGAUGUCAUUAUCACGACGACGAUCGGCUACGGGACGGCAGAUAGGCGAACGGCUGAAAGCACACGGCGAAAACCAGAGAGCGAAGGAGAUAAAACGAGAAUGGAGAAAUAUUCAUUCACGGUCACAACUAAUGGAAUUGGCAUCAUACACUUGCAGAAAAGAUGUAAUGGCCGGCAUUUCUGAGCUAACGGCUUUGUCGCAAUGAUAAGCAUAGAGUCAUCGAAAUAACGACUGGUCACAACUACCUCGACACCAAGUAUUUGUUACACCGAUCCCGUAGUCAGACACAGGAAUUAACAUAUUGUUCAGUCUUCCGUUUUUUCGGGAACGGCCUAACGAGCCGGUGACUGGCAGUUAACUCAGAAGCAGGACGUCAUUGCUAACUUCGACUCAUACUAUCAUCUAUUCACAUAACCAACUAUUAACAUAAGUUACAAGGCACACGUGGCUACAUUCGUGCUUCUCCAAAAGAAACGUCCAAUCGGCAGGUCAGAUUCGGACGCUGCGUUUGGCACUCUUCUUUUUCACUAUCAAGAAGCCACCGCUGUGUUUUUCCUCCGCUAAAUUCAGCAAAGACAACAUUUGUCUUCUUGCCUUACACCGUCAUCGACAACGAAGCUUCUAGGGAAUCGUGAUACUGUCAACAAUAACAAUCAGCCGCACGGUCAGUCAUAAGAAGACUGUUAACAGAUUAGUGUGAAUCGGCAAAUUGUAGAAGGGUGGAGCCGGUCUGUCCUUCUAACUGUUCCGCUUGUUUCACGAUUCGUAUGUUUAGCAUUAUAAUAAACUCAAUGGUCGUGGCGUAAUUUGGGAGCGGCCUAUCGUUUACGCUACUGGCUGACUGAUUUAUUUCACGUCCAGUGACACCUAUUGCUCAAGGCUAUAGCAUCCGAUUGCUUACUGCCAGUGUAUUACGAACGAAUAAACUCGUAUCUUCAAUUCACGUAUACUUCGUCCUUGCGAAGAUAGGAGCUUCAUUCCCAUAGGAAAUCCUAAACGUUUCGUGCGUGUGAAUUGGUAAUAAUUGUCUUUUAGUAAUUGAACCGCAGGCAAAUUAAUGGACACAUCCUACCAAUGUCUGCGCUGUAGCGUAUUCUGAGCAUAUGCCAAAGUGUGUUUGUAUAAACUUUUGAAUGAGUUCACUCGUGAGGAGCUUUUGCCUACAUCUUCUCAUUCAUAGUAGAUAGCGACCCGCAUCUCACCGGAUAGCUCUCCUCCUGAAGUGUUCUUCUUCUCCUCUAUCGAUUAGACUAGGAAGGCCAGCUUCAACAAGUGUACCUGAUACUGGUGCAUCGCAUUUAGUUUAAAAACGUUACGCUUUAAACUUGAUCUGGCUACGUUACAGCAAAACUUCGGUAUGCGAAGCCUCGGAUUGUCCAUGUUUUUCUCUUCCUCCGGACAAACUGACGCGUGUCGCUAAUCAGCCGUAUUUUCAUCUGUUCAUUUGAACAUUAGCGUGAUGGGAAGCGGGACGAAAGCUCGAUUGACAAACAAGGAUGGUCGAAACAAUCAAUUUGGACGAACCGCUCCCGAGCAAGUCAGGCCGAAGGAGCAAGCACAUGCGAGUAACUUGCUUGUUUGACCGGCCUCAGUCAACGUACUUGCACCGAAUUUUCAGAUCGAAACAGACGACACUGGGAACGCGCUGUGUUACGAGGCAUCAAGGAGGAUUUAUGGAACCGCAUCUCCUAAUAGGCGCAAUGCUUACCGUUACUGUACAAGUAACAUGGCGUAGAGCAAUCAGGGCCGAGUUAAGUGCUCGUCGUCCCACUCCUCACAGAGGAGAAUUAAAUACAUAAAAAAAAGACGUUUGCAGGCCGAAAAGACAGAUAUAUGAUCGGCAUUGGCAUAUUCAGUAUGACAUCGGAUAUAUGGUACUGCAUUCGUACGUAAGCCUCUAUGUAGAGCUGUAUAUAUCUGAAGCGGGGUGAAGUCUGGUAGUAAUAGUUCUCGUCUCAAAUCACUGGAGUAAAGUUUUACCAUACGCAAAACAAGCAUCUUUGUAUGAAAACCAUAUCCGUGUACAACUAACCAAAAGUUCACUCAUCUUGGAACAGCUAUCUUUUUAGGCGCUCACUUCGGCAGCGACUCACUCGAUCGAGGAGGCUUAUCAGCCGGGCCACGACAGGUCUAUUUGAAAGUGUUAGGCGAGUCCCCACUGAUUUGAUUUUCCAGUAAUACUGAUGUGAUAUUUUCUUCGAAAGAGCACACGAUCCCCUACUCAAAGUUUGACUCAAAAUUGCGACAAACAGAGGCUGGUUGCGGUACGUCGUAGCCAUCAGUUACCCCGUCAACUUCGAUUGGCAGAUGACUCGUCUGUAAAAGUAUAUGGUUUUCUAUGCGCUGCCGGCUGAGGUUCCGCUGUAUUGCGUCUCCUAAAUGAUGCAACGAUAGGCCUUCCAUGUUACCAUCGUGCUUUUUAGCGUCGUAUGAGUACGUUGACAGUCGUUAAUUGUGCUACAAGGCGGUAAAAUGAUUUGCUGAUGUUAAGGACAUCAUGAGAUUUUAGUCGCAAGGAACCGGGUUAGGGGUUGUUUUUAUUGACGAUUCAAAGAUUUGUGCCGCUAAUUCUAAACGAAAUAAUAAUAUAUAAAAUACUACGAAAUAGGUGGGCCACGUGGAAAAAGGAACAUUACAUUUCUUCCGCUCGUAGCGAAUAGCACUUCUAGACUUCGGUAGUUGCAAAAGUAAAAUCAAUAGACAGCUAUAGGUCAAGGAAACGUCACACUUUGAGAAGACUGAAAUCUUCUCAAAGUUAUCGAUUUUUUCAUCUACGAACCAAAAUUAUACCGUGGCCUUGCGUCGGUAAAACGUGAGCGGGUACCGCGGCCGACAUAUUCGAUGGAGGUAUCAUUUUCGCUAAAUCAAGUAGACCUGAUAUAUCCUUUUCGCGCUCUUCUACGUAGAGUUGAUGGAAUUACGAUUUUGUAAUGAGGAAACACUGAUUGGCUCUCAUUUUGUGUGGUUUAUCUCCGCUACCCAGGAAAUCCUCCUGGGUCCAGACAUUAGAUUUGCAUACAUAUAAACAAAUGUAAGACGUCGGUGAUACCGAAAAAUGGUUGUUAAUAUUCAAGACAGA